Molecule: ribosomal RNA, 253 nt
Filed under: uncultured bacterium
Lineage: Bacteria
Description: partial 16S ribosomal RNA
Rfam family: Bacterial small subunit ribosomal RNA
Source: RNAcentral
UACGUAGGGGGCAAGCGUUGUCCGGAUUUAUUGGGCGUAAAGCGCUCGCAGGCGGUCCGAUGCGUCGUGCGUGAAAGACCCCGGCUCAACUGGGGAGGGUCGUGCGAUACGGGCGGACUGGAGGCCAGUAGGGGGAUGCGGAAUUCCGGGUGUAGUGGUGGAAUGCGUAGAGAUCCGGAGGAACACCAGCGGCGAAGGCGGCAUCCUGGACUGUUCGUGACACUCAGGAGCGAAAGCGUGGGGAGCGAUCCGG